GACGAGCCAGAACACAACCCUGGCGAUCCCGUUGGACGGGCUCGCGCCGGGCAGGAACCGGUCGAC
This 66-nucleotide unclassified non-coding RNA is filed under the name plant metagenome. RNAcentral describes it as "partial contains 5.8S ribosomal RNA, internal transcribed spacer 2, and large subunit ribosomal RNA". The record is from RNAcentral.